RNAcentral lists this ribosomal RNA (250 nucleotides) under uncultured bacterium. RNAcentral describes it as "partial 16S ribosomal RNA". It matches the Rfam family "Bacterial small subunit ribosomal RNA", at positions 524 to 773 of the family's 1533-position model. The record is from RNAcentral.
UACAGAGGGUGCGAGCGUUAAUCGGAUUUACUGGGCGUAAAGCGUGCGUAGGCGGCUUCGUAAGUUGGAUGUGAAAUCCCCGAGCUUAACUUGGGAAUUGCAUUCAAAACUGUGAAGCUAGAGUAUGGGAGAGGAUGGUAGAAUUCCAGGUGUAGCGGUGAAAUGCGUAGAGAUCUGGAGGAAUACCGAUGGCGAAGGCAGCCAUCUGGCCUAAUACUGACGCUGAGGUACGAAAGCAUGGGGAGCAAAC